AACGAACGCUGGCGGUAUGCUUAACACAUGCAAGUCGAACGAACAAAAUUGGGGCUUGCUCCAAUUUUAGUGAGUGGCAAACGGGUGAGUAACACGUGGGAAUCUACCUAUCAGUACGGAAUAACAUUUGGAAACAGAUGCUAAUACCGUAUAUUCUCCAAGGAGGAAAGAUUUAUCGCUGAUAGAUGAGCCCGCGCAAGAUUAGGUAGUUGGUAGGGUAAUGGCCUACCAAGCCUACGAUCUUUAGCUGGUCUGAGAGGAUGAUCAGCCACACUGGGACUGAGACACGGCCCAGACUCCUACGGGAGGCAGCAGUGGGGAAUAUUGGACAAUGGGCGAAAGCCUGAUCCAGCACUACCGCGUGAAUGAUGAAGGCCUUAGGGUUGUAAAGUUCUUUUAGUUGGAAAGAUAAUGACGGUACCAACAGAAAAAGCCCCGGCUAACUCCGUGCCAGCAGCCGCAGUAA
This 466-nucleotide ribosomal RNA is filed under the name uncultured bacterium. RNAcentral describes it as "partial 16S ribosomal RNA". It matches the Rfam family "Bacterial small subunit ribosomal RNA", at positions 29 to 523 of the family's 1533-position model. The record is from RNAcentral.